AGCAAUUAUACUUAUUGAAAAGUAAGGAUUAGAGCUUUCUUAAAAUCUAUGAAUGAAAGAAUUUGGGUAUGCGUAGAGAAAGGUUGGGCCGUCCCUGCUACUUUUGUUGCUAGUGUAGUUAUCUCUAUCAAUAUUUCACUUUGGAUUAAGGAUGAACUUGUAAAAUGUAACUGAAAUAAUAAAGAACUUCAUGUCCUAUUUACGGCUAUCACCUAAAGAGUUCAGUAGAUUGUCGAUGUGUGAGACUAUUAAAGAAGUUGGGAUAUUAUAGAAAUCACACAUAGAGAAAUGAGAUAGUUAAGAACUUUAAGUUUCAGAUGUUGAACACUAGAUUUGAAGAGAUUAGAAUGAAAGAUGAUGAAUCCUUCGAUGAAUUUUGUGUGAAGUUAAAUGAUGUAGCAAACUUUAGUUUCAACCUAGGUGAAAAAUCCUAGAAAAAAGUUAGAAAAAUAUUUGGAUCCUUACCCGAGAGGUAUAGAACUAAGAUUAUUGUGAGUUAGGAGAGCAAAGAUUUAGACAUGAUUAAGAUAGAGAAAUUAGUUGGAUCUCUCCAAAUCUAUGCACUAAGCAUUUCUAACUCUAAAAAUAAUAAGUCAAUUGCCUUAAACACUAUUAGGGAAGAAGACAAUGACAUUCUGAUGAUGAGAUUCUUAAGCAUGAGGAGAUAGCUUAUUUUGUUAAGAAAUCUCAAUAUGUUUUUCAAAUAAGAAGAAACGCCGGGAAAGAAAAUCAAGAGAAGAAAAAUACAGGGUGGUCAAGAACAUCUACUAUAUGAAGUGAGGUUCAACUUUCAAAAAUUACAACUAAGAGACAUGUGGUACUGAAUGAAAAGGUACCUUAUACAUUGUGAAUCAAUUUGAGCAGUCAGUAAAAAUAAUUUCAGAUCAAAGUUCAAAUAAUCCACGGGUUAUGGCAACGUUCCCAUCAAGACAUAUGUGCCUUUUGUUCCAUUUUCUCGAAGAUUGCACAUGAUGAAGCUCGAUGAACAAUUUGCAGUGUUCCUGG
This 1005-nucleotide long non-coding RNA is filed under the name Olea europaea subsp. europaea. The record is from RNAcentral. Lineage: Eukaryota; Viridiplantae; Streptophyta; Magnoliopsida; Lamiales; Oleaceae.